UUUUUUUUUUUUUUUUUUUUUUUGAAACCGAGUCUUGCUCUGUUGCCCAGGCUGGAGUGCAGUGGCGCGAUCUCGGCUCAUUACACAUGUGCAGUAUUUACUGGGUUCACGCCAUUCUCCUGCCUCAGCCUCCCAAGUAGCUGGGACUACAGGCGCCCACCACCACACCCGGCUAAUUUUGUUUUUGUAUUUUUAGUAGAGACGGGGUUUCACCGUGUUAGUCAGGAUGGUCUCAAUCUAAAACAGGAGAAUCAUUUAUUGAGUGCACUCAGGCCCAGCUGACUCAACGUCCAAAAGACUGGGCCCGGAAGAAAGACAGCACUUGACUUCUAUACACACUUCACAAAAGGGGGUGGGCUAGCUUGAAGCAAGCUUACAGUGGCAUGAAAGCAGGGAUAUAGAGGCAGGACAAACUCAGGAUUGCACGUGACCGUUGCCAAGCAACCCAGAUGUCCGUUAUCUAGGUUUGCCCAGGCACAGGCUUAUCCCAUAACCUUCACUAUGGCGCCCAGGUGGCCGUAACUCAGGCCAGCUCAGAGGCUCAUGACCUUCACUCCACUGCUUAGAUAAAACAAUACUUGAAGUCACUAGUUACAGAGAACAGGAAUCUAUAAACUCAUUCCAUAAAACAAAGGAAAAUUUGUUUUUCUUCUCCCUAUGUUGAGGGAGUACUGGGAGAAUCUCCAGAGCACAUUAGAUAAUAUUAUGAAGAAUUUUCCUGGGUCUGGCCUGUGCCUAUUGCUGCCUCUGGGACAAGUCACCCUAAUACAGAAAAACUUAUUUCUCUUUCUUUUUAAUUUUACUUUUCUUUAAUUUCCCACCUCAACAGAGCCACUGGUGGCCGCAGAAUACAGUCCACGUGUCUUAACCAGGCUUACAAGACUCCAAAGGUCUGGCUUCUCCCCACCCCUACUCCCUGUCUUGUUUCUCCCACACUCCCCCAACAGCUUCUCUGGAGCCAAGUCAGCCAGCCUCCUUCCAGCUUCAGGCCUUUGAACAUGCUGUUCUUUCCACCUAAAAAGCUCCCCGCACUUCCCCCAGCCUAGUUCCCUGCUUGUAUAGAUUGUUCCUCUAAUGUGACUCCUGGAAAAGCCUUCCUUGCCUCCCAGGCUAGAGCAGAGCCCCCAUUAACAGCUCUCACACCAGCCUAUCUUUCUCCUCCACUGCAUUUGUCACAUCCUGUGAUCCUGUGUGCAUCCUGUUCAAUGUCUGUCUCCACACAUAAAAUGUAAACUCCAAAAGGAUAGGAACUGUGUCUGACUCGCUUCCUUUCAUGUCCCUUGUGCCUAGAUGGGUGCCUUGUAUCAAGCAGGUGCUCAACAAAUGUCUGCUGAAAAAAUGAUGCAGGGUGCGGUGGCUCACGCAGGGUGCCUUCUUUCUGGAUGGGGUCUUCAAUCAACUCUGGGACCUGCAAGGUCACCUCACACUUCCUUUCAGGUAAGGGAGGGUUAGAGCUGCUAGGGUGGUCACAGGACUCAUGGUUCAAGAAAGUACUCAAGGUUCCAGAAAGCUAGACAAGUGAUUGCUGGACUGGGCUGGGAACAGAGUGAUCCUGGGGCAGUAGUGAGGCACAGGCCACGGUCCUACUUGUGGAUGAGGUGAGGAGAGCUGCAGACCCCGUAAGGAAUCCCUCAGCCUGCCUGUGAGUAACAACUCUGAAGGGCUUUCUGAGGGCCCUGGGAAAGUCUGAUGACCGGAGCUGAAAGGUGAUUCUGUCCAAGGAAGAUCACGAUGGCCAAGAACCAAUGUAGGGUCAAGUUUGAGGUGUCUGUUGCGGAGGAAUCAAGGCUGAAGUACUCUGAACUAUCCAUCCUUUCUUCCAUCCAUCCAACACAUAUUUAGGGAGCUCCCGCCAGGGGCCGACGAUGCUUAGUGUCUCCAGUGACAUCACUCUGUUCGGAGGCAUCAGCUCCCUUUGUUUAGGUGUUGCUCAGAGGUUCCAUCUACCAUGUGGGACUGUGGAGUCAGACCAGGAUUCACAUCCCAGCUCUGUCACUUUCUGUCACUGACUUCAGGCAAGAGACUUCAUCUCUUUGAACCUCAUUUUCU
Molecule: long non-coding RNA, 2049 nt
Filed under: Pan troglodytes (chimpanzee)
Lineage: Eukaryota; Metazoa; Chordata; Mammalia; Primates; Hominidae
Description: long non-coding RNA NONPTRT003684
Source: RNAcentral